Molecule: non-coding RNA, 112 nt
Organism: Acanthosepion pharaonis
Lineage: Eukaryota; Metazoa; Mollusca; Cephalopoda; Sepiida; Sepiidae
Source: the annotation of a GenBank genome assembly
CACGACCAUAUCAUGAUGAAACACUGGUUCUCUUAAGAUCACCGAAGUUAAGCAACGUUGACCUUGGUCAGUACCUGGAUGGGUGACCGCUUUGGAAUGCCAGGUGUUGUAA